This 62-nucleotide non-coding RNA is filed under the name unclassified sequences. RNAcentral describes it as "L31-Gammaproteobacteria ribosomal protein leader". It matches the Rfam family "L31-Gammaproteobacteria ribosomal protein leader". The record is from RNAcentral.
CGUGUGGUGCCGGUGCAGGUGAAUUCCUGGCACGGGAGAGCGACGCGGCCCUUUACUGAGGU